AUUGAACGCUGGCGGCAGGCCUAACACAUGCAAGUCGAGCGAGCGGCGGACGGGUGAGUAAUGUAUGGGGACUGCCCGAUAGAGGGGGUUAACUACUGGAAACGGUGGCUAAUACCGCAUACUAUCGGAUAACCCAUAUGGGAUUAUCUAGUAGGUGGGGUAAAGGCACACCUAGGCGACGAUCUCUAGCUGGGCUGAGAGGAUGAUCAGCCACACUGGGACUGAGACACGGCCCAGACUCCUACGGAGGCAGCGGUGGGGAAUAUUGCACAAUGGGCGCAAGGCUGAUGCAGCCAUGCCGCGAGUAUGAAGAAGGCCUUAGGGUUGUAAAGUACUUACAGCGGGGAGGCGUUAGCCGCAGAAGAAGCACCGGCUAACUCCGUGCCAGCAGCCGCGGUAAUUC
Molecule: ribosomal RNA, 403 nt
Filed under: uncultured bacterium
Lineage: Bacteria
Description: partial 16S ribosomal RNA
Rfam family: Bacterial small subunit ribosomal RNA
Source: RNAcentral